Ixodes scapularis (black-legged tick) is the source of this 46-nucleotide non-coding RNA. The record is from Rfam. NCBI's taxonomy places the organism in Eukaryota, Metazoa, Arthropoda, Arachnida, Ixodida, Ixodidae.
CAAACGGCCCUCAUUAGGGCCAACCACAUAUGCAUUUGGUGUCUGG